RNAcentral lists this transfer RNA (72 nucleotides) under Camelus bactrianus (Bactrian camel). It matches the Rfam family "tRNA". Rfam says of the family: Transfer RNA (tRNA) molecules are approximately 80 nucleotides in length. Lineage: Eukaryota; Metazoa; Chordata; Mammalia; Artiodactyla; Camelidae. The record is from Rfam by way of RNAcentral. RNAcentral also lists the same sequence under 2 other names.
GUGGGUAUAGCUCAGUGGUAGAGCAACUGCUUAGCAUGCAGGAGGUCCUGGGUUCAAUCCCCAGUACUGCCA